Molecule: long non-coding RNA, 266 nt
Filed under: Lathyrus oleraceus (garden pea)
Lineage: Eukaryota; Viridiplantae; Streptophyta; Magnoliopsida; Fabales; Fabaceae
Description: Pisum sativum (pea) long non-coding RNA (PSAT_LNC002416)
Source: RNAcentral
UCAUUUGAUAUUUUUUGUGAAUUUUCUCUUUUAUGGUUAUUUUAAUUCAUUUUUAAAUAGUUUUUUAUAUUCAAAAAAUACAAAAAUAUUUUCCUAAUCUAGUUGAAUGAUGAUGGAUCUAUGAAAAAUAUUCUCAUCAUUUUUUAAUUGAUUUGAGAUUUAUUUGAGAUUUUAGUUCAAUUAGGUUAUUUUUAUUCAUUUUUAAUUGAUUAAAAAUAGUUUCUGACUUUUAAAAAUGCUGAAAUUUUUUGUCAAACUUUCUUUGA